CGACUUUUGUUGCGAGUAUACACAAAUAGAUUAUCCAAUCUGCACUUAUUUUCAUGUGUCAUUGUAUAUGCAGGUCGUAGUAAACAGGACCAUAGGAACAUAAAUAAGCUCAUGACCAAUUUAUGUUACUAUUAACAUACCUGGACCAAGAUUAUAUAUGUGGUGGGUAACCACAUCGAACUUGGGUGUUUUGCCAAUAAAUUCUUUGAACCAAUUUGCAUAAAAAAUCCUCCUGGUGUUAUGAUUUGCGACUGAAAUUCUUCACCCUUACAGAUAUCUUGCACUAUCUUUUGUAGAGAGAUUGUGUCCGAGGAGUAUUGAUCUGCUGCAACUCUACCCGUACUCCACUUCCACACAAUUCAUUUCCU
This 368-nucleotide long non-coding RNA is filed under the name Panax ginseng (ginseng). Its description in RNAcentral is "long non-coding RNA (PGIN_LNC005066)". The record is from RNAcentral. Lineage: Eukaryota; Viridiplantae; Streptophyta; Magnoliopsida; Apiales; Araliaceae.